CCUACGGGUGGCAGCAGUGAGGAAUAUUGGUCAAUGGACGAGAGUCUGACCCAGCCAAGUAGCGUGAAGGAUGACUGCCCUCUGGGUUGUAAACUUCUUUUAUAAAGGAAUAAAACGAGGCACGUGUGCCUUUUUGCAUGUACUUUAUGACUAAGGAUCGGCUAACUCCGUGCCAGCAUCCGCGGUAAUACGGAGGGUCCGAGCGUUAUCCGGAUUUAUUGGGUUUAAAGGGAGCGUAGAUUGGUUGUUAACUCAGUUGUGAAAGAUUGCGGCUCAACCGUAAAAUUGCAAUUGAUACUGGCAGUCUUGAGUACAGUUGAGGGAGGCGGAAUUCGUGGUGUAGCGGUGAAAUGCUUAGAUAUCACGAAGAACCCCGAUUGCGAAGGCAGCUUACUAAACUGUGACUGACAUUGAGGCGCGAAAGUGUGGGUAUCAAACAGGAUUAGAUACCCCGGUAGUC
RNAcentral lists this ribosomal RNA (460 nucleotides) under uncultured bacterium. RNAcentral's name for it is "partial 16S ribosomal RNA". It matches the Rfam family "Bacterial small subunit ribosomal RNA", at positions 338 to 795 of the family's 1533-position model. The record is from RNAcentral.